Molecule: ribosomal RNA, 497 nt
Filed under: uncultured bacterium
Lineage: Bacteria
Description: partial 16S ribosomal RNA
Rfam family: Bacterial small subunit ribosomal RNA
Source: RNAcentral
GAUGAACGCUGGCGGCGUGCCUAAUACAUGCAAGUCGAGCGAACGGACGAGAAGCUUGCUUCUCUAAUGUUAGCGGCGGACGGGUGAGUAACACGUGGAUAACCUACCUAUAAGACUGGGAUAACUUCGGGAAACCGUAGCUAAUACCGGAUAAUAUUUUGAACCGCAUGGUUCAAAAGUGAAAGGCGGUCUUGCUGUCACUUAUAGAUGGAUCCGCGCUGCAUUAGCUAGUUGGUAAGGUAACGGCUUACCAAGGCAACGAUGCAUAGCCGACCUGAGAGGGUGAUCGGCCACACUGGAACUGAGACACGGUCCAGACUCCUACGGGAGGCAGCAGUAGGGAAUCUUCCGCAAUGGGCGAAAGCCUGACGGAGCAACGCCGCGUGAGUGAUGAAGGUCUUCGGAUCGUAAAACUCUGUUAUUAGGGAAGAACAUAUGUGUAAGUAACUGUGCACAUCUUGACGGUACCUAAUCAGAAAGCCACGGCUAACUACGUG